GAUGAACGCUGGCGGCGUGCCUAAUACAUGCAAGUCGAGCGAACGGACGAGAAGCUUGCUUCUCUGAUGUUAGCGGCGGACGGGUGAGUAACACGUGGAUAACCUACCUAUAAGACUGGGAUAACUUCGGGAAACCGGAGCUAAUACCGGAUAAUAUUUUGAACCGCAUGGUUCAAAAGUGAAAGACGGUCUUGCUGUCACUUAUAGAUGGAUCCGCGCUGCAUUAGCUAGUUGGUAAGGUAACGGCUUACCAAGGCAACGAUGCAUAGCCGACCUGAGAGGGUGAUCGGCCACACUGGAACUGAGACACGGUCCAGACUCCUACGGGAGGCAGCAGUAGGGAAUCUUCCGCAAUGGGCGAAAGCCUGACGGAGCAACGCCGCGUGAGUGAUGAAGGUCUUCGGAUCGUAAAACUCUGUUAUUAGGGAAGAACAUAUGUGUAAGUAACUGUGCACAUCUUGACGGUACCUAAUCAGAAAGCCACGGCUAACUACGUGCCAGCAGCCGCGGUAAUACGUAGGUGGCAAGCGUUAUCCGGAAUUAUUGGGCGUAAAGCGCGUGUAGGCGGUUUUUUAAGUCUGAUGUGAAAGCCCACGGCUCAACCGUGGAGGGUCAUUGGAAACUGGAAAACUUGAGUGCAGAAGAGGAAAGUGGAAUUCCAUGUGUAGCGGUGAAAUGCGCAGAGAUAUGGAGGAACACCAGUGGCGAAGGCGACUUUCUGGUCUGUAACUGACGCUGAUGUGCGAAAGCGUGGGGAUCAAACAGGAUUAGAUACCCUGGUAGUCCACGCCGUAAACGAUGAGUGCUAAGUGUUAGGGGGUUUCCGCCCCUUAGUGCUGCAGCUAACGCAUUAAGCACUCCGCCUGGGGAGUACGACCGCAAGGUUGAAACUCAAAGGAAUUGACGGGGACCCGCACAAGCGGUGGAGCAUGUGGUUUAAUUCGAAGCAACGCGAAGAACCUUACCAAAUCUUGACAUCCUUUGACAACUCUAGAGAUAGAGCCUUCCCCUUCGGGGGACAAAGUGACAGGUGGUGCAUGGUUGUCGUCAGCUCGUGUCGUGAGAUGUUGGGUUAAGUCCCGCAACGAGCGCAACCCUUAAGCUUAGUUGCCAUCAUUAAGUUGGGCACUCUAAGUUGACUGCCGGUGACAAACCGGAGGAAGGUGGGGAUGACGUCAAAUCAUCAUGCCCCUUAUGAUUUGGGCUACACACGUGCUACAAUGGACAAUACAAAGGGCAGCGAAACCGCGAGGUCAAGCAAAUCCCAUAAAGUUGUUCUCAGUUCGGAUUGUAGUCUGCAACUCGACUACAUGAAGCUGGAAUCGCUAGUAAUCGUAGAUCAGCAUGCUACGGUGAAUACGUUCCCGGGUCU
Molecule: ribosomal RNA, 1372 nt
Filed under: uncultured bacterium
Lineage: Bacteria
Description: bacterial SSU rRNA
Rfam family: Bacterial small subunit ribosomal RNA
Source: RNAcentral